GAUGAACGCUGGCGGCGUGCCUAAUACAUGCAAGUCGAGCGAACAGAUGAGGAGCUUGCUCCUCUGACGUUAGCGGCGGACGGGUGAGUAACACGUGGAUAACCUACCUAUAAGACUGGGAGAACUUCGGGAAACCGGAGCUAAUACCGGAUAAUAUAUUGAACCGCAUGGUUCAAUAGUGAAAGACGGUUUUGCUGUCACUUAUAGAUGGAUCCGCGCCGCAUUAGCUAGUUGGUAAGGUAACGGCUUACCAAGGCAACGAUGCGUAGCCGACCUGAGAGGGUGAUCGGCCACACUGGAACUGAGACACGGUCCAGACUCCUACGGGAGGCAGCAGUAGGGAAUCUUCCGCAAUGGGCGAAAGCCUGACGGAGCAACGCCGCGUGAGUGAUGAAGGUCUUCGGAUCGUAAAACUCUGUUAUUAGGGAAGAACAAAUGUGUAAGUAACUAUGCACGUCUUGACGGUACCUAAUCAGAAAGCCACGGCUAACUACGUG
RNAcentral lists this ribosomal RNA (497 nucleotides) under uncultured bacterium. RNAcentral's name for it is "partial 16S ribosomal RNA". It matches the Rfam family "Bacterial small subunit ribosomal RNA", at positions 28 to 507 of the family's 1533-position model. The record is from RNAcentral.